This is a non-coding RNA of Carica papaya (papaya), 784 nucleotides long. The record is from RefSeq and is a predicted model, not a curated record. NCBI's taxonomy places the organism in Eukaryota, Viridiplantae, Streptophyta, Magnoliopsida, Brassicales, Caricaceae.
CAGAGAGUGAGAAGAUCUUUUGAAAGAGAAAUAGAGGAAGACAACUCAACCACAGAGGAGAGAAACAGAGUCUCAUUACAUUACUUCUGUUUUCUCUCUGGCCGGAGAAGAUUUCACCGAGGAAACACAGAGAAUUUAUGAGGUCUAGGUUUGAUCUGUUGAUCACUGGAGCUGUAGAGAAGCUCUGGUUAUCCUCUGUCUCUGUUUCUCUCUGUUUUCUUUCUUUCUUUUGUUCCUCAUUUGGGUUUUCCAAGCAGUUCUGUUCUAUCUAGCAGAGCAAGAACCAGAUUUUCUCUGCAUCUUCCAUGCAGUCAAUCUCACAGAUGUAUUCUGGAAUUGCUAUUGUUUACAGUGCUUCAUUGAUGACAUAAGGCAAAAUUUCUCUUCUUUGAUUUGGGGUUUAAGGGGUUUAAAAUUUUUUGGGUUUUCUUGAUUAAGAAGAUUCCCAAUUUUUCUGCUUUGUGUGGGUUCAAAGGAUUUUUCUCUUUCCAUGGAGUUUUCUUCAUUUGAAAAAAAAGAGAACCAAAAUCUUGUCGUGACUGAAAUGCUAGGCCAGCCAAGGGAAAUUUUGAAUGAACCCAAGAAAACCAGAUUGAUAAAACAAAAGAAUUUGCAAUCAGUGAGGAAAAUUCGCAUAAUUGUCAAUGAUCCUGAUGCUACUGAUUCUUCAAGUGAAGACGAAGAGAUGUCCGAUCGGAUGAGGAUGAGACAACAAAUGCGGGUUAAGCGUCAUGUCAAAGAGAUUCUUGUGCCAAAUUUUCCGAUGAAGCCAUGUGAGAAGAAA